RNAcentral lists this transfer RNA (64 nucleotides) under Leptestheria dahalacensis. RNAcentral describes it as "tRNA-Cys". It matches the Rfam family "tRNA". Rfam says of the family: Transfer RNA (tRNA) molecules are approximately 80 nucleotides in length. Their secondary structure includes four short double-helical elements and three loops (D, anti-codon, and T loops). Further hydrogen bonds mediate the characteristic L-shaped molecular structure. tRNAs have two regions of fundamental functional importance: the anti-codon, which is responsible for specific mRNA codon recognition, and the 3' end, to which the tRNAs corresponding amino acid is attached (by aminoacyl-tRNA synthetases). tRNAs cope with the degeneracy of the genetic code in two manners: having more than one tRNA (with a specific anti-codon) for a particular amino acid; and 'wobble' base-pairing, i.e. permitting non-standard base-pairing at the 3rd anti-codon position. Lineage: Eukaryota; Metazoa; Arthropoda; Branchiopoda; Diplostraca; Leptestheriidae. The record is from RNAcentral.
GACUUAAUAGUUUAAUUUUAAAACCUGAGACUGCAAUUCUCAAAUUACUGAUAAGUUUAAGUCU